UCCUUUGACACUCUAGAGAUAGAGCUUUCCCUUCGGGGACAAAGUGACAGGUGGUGCAUGGUUGUCGUCAGCUCGUGUCGUGAGAUGUUGGGUUAAGUCCCGCAACGAGCGCAACCCUUAUUACUAGUUGCCAGCAUUUAGUUGGGCACUCUAGUGAGACUGCCGGUGACAAACCGGAGGAAGGUGGGGACGACGUCAAAUCAUCAUGCCCCUUAUGACCUGGGCUACACACGUGCUACAAUGGAUGGUACAACGAGUCGCGAGACCGCGAGGUUUAGCUAAUCUCUUAAAACCAUUCUCAGUUCGGAUUGUAGGCUGCAACUCGCCUACAUGAAGCCGGAAUCGCUAGUAAUCGCGGAUCAGCAUGCCGCGGUGAAUACGUUCCCGGGUCUUGUACACACCG
Molecule: ribosomal RNA, 403 nt
Filed under: uncultured bacterium
Lineage: Bacteria
Description: bacterial SSU rRNA
Rfam family: Bacterial small subunit ribosomal RNA
Source: RNAcentral